CGUAGGGGGCAAACGUUGUCCGGAUUUACUGGGUGUAAAGGGUGCUCAGGCGGUUUUGUAAGUCAGAAGUGAAAUCCUAGGGCUUAACUCUGGAACUGCUUUUGAUACUGCAAGGCUUGAAUAUGGAAGAGGAGGGCGGAAUUUCUGGUGUAGCAGUGAAAUGCGUAGAUAUCAGAAAGAACACCAGUGGCGGAGGCGGCCCUCUGGUCCAUUAUUGACGCUAAAGCACGAAAGCGUGGGGAGCAAACAGGAUUAGAUACCCUGGUAGUCCACGCCUUAAACGAUGAAUACUAGACGUUGGGGUUAAACUCAGUGUCGCAGCUAACGCAUUAAGUAUUCCACCUGGGGAGUACGAUCGCAAGGUUG
Molecule: ribosomal RNA, 366 nt
Filed under: uncultured organism
Description: bacterial SSU rRNA
Rfam family: Bacterial small subunit ribosomal RNA
Source: RNAcentral